GGGGUGGAGCAGUUCGGUAGCUCGUCGGGCUCAUAACCCGAAGGUCGCAGGUUCAAAUCCUGCCCCC
Molecule: transfer RNA, 67 nt
Filed under: Bacillus altitudinis
Lineage: Bacteria; Bacillati; Bacillota; Bacilli; Caryophanales; Bacillaceae
Description: tRNA-Met
Rfam family: tRNA
About the family: Transfer RNA (tRNA) molecules are approximately 80 nucleotides in length. Their secondary structure includes four short double-helical elements and three loops (D, anti-codon, and T loops).
Source: RNAcentral